AACGCACCUUGCGCCCCUUGGCAUUCCGAGGGGCACACCCGUUUGAGUGUCGUGAAAUUCUCAAAAACCCUUUUUUCUUUGAUCCUUUCAGGGUUUGGGAAAAGGAUUUUUGGACUUGGAGGUUCAAUGCUCGCCUUUCGCUUUCGAAAGCGAGCUCCUCUAAAAUAAAUUAGCGGGGUCUGCUUUGCCGCUCCUUGACGUGAUAAGAUGUUUCUACGUUUUGGAUUUAGCACAGUCCUUUGGAUUCCUGCUUCUAACCGUCUUACGGACAACGAUGGUGCUCCGGUCACUGCCGCUUAUAUCGGUGGGAGGCUGGACCCACAGAGAAAAACCUUGACCUCAAAUCGGGUGAGACUACCCGCUGAACUUAAG
This 372-nucleotide unclassified non-coding RNA is filed under the name Russula maculata. Its description in RNAcentral is "sequence contains 5.8S rRNA gene". Lineage: Eukaryota; Fungi; Basidiomycota; Agaricomycetes; Russulales; Russulaceae. The record is from RNAcentral.